UUGUGAGGUUAAGCGACUAAGCGUACACGGUGGAUGCCCUGGCAGUCAGAGGCGAUGAAGGACGUGCUAAUCUGCGAUAAGCGUCGGUGAGGUGAUAUGAACCGUUAUAACCGGCGAUUUCCGAAUGGGGAAACCCAGUGUGUUUCGACACACUAUCAUUAACUGAAUCCAUAGGUUAAUGAGGCGAACCGGGGGAACUGAAACAUCUAAGUACCCCGAGGAAAAGAAAUCAACCGAGAUUCCCCCAGUAGCGGCGAGCGAACGGGGAGGAGCCCAGAGCCUGAAUCAGUGUGUGUGUUAGUGGAAGCGUCUGGAAAGGCGCGCGAUACAGGGUGACAGCCCCGUACACAAAAAUGCACAUAUUGUGAGCUCGAUGAGUAGGGCGGGACACGUGGUAUCCUGUCUGAAUAUGGGGGGACCAUCCUCCAAGGCUAAAUACUCCUGACUGACCGAUAGUGAACCAGUACCGUGAGGGAAAGGCGAAAAGAACCCCGGCGAGGGGAGUGAAAAAGAACCUGAAACCGUGUACGUACAAGCAGUGGGAGCCUCUUAAUGGGGUGACUGCGUACCUUUUGUAUAAUGGGUCAGCGACUUAUAUUCUGUAGCAAGGUUAACCGAAUAGGGGAGCCGAAGGGAAACCGAGUCUUAACUGGGCGUUAAGUUGCAGGGUAUAGACCCGAAACCCGGUGAUCUAGCCAUGGGCAGGUUGAAGGUUGGGUAACACUAACUGGAGGACCGAACCGACUAAUGUUGAAAAAUUAGCGGAUGACUUGUGGCUGGGGGUGAAAGGCCAAUCAAACCGGGAGAUAGCUGGUUCUCCCCGAAAGCUAUUUAGGUAGCGCCUCGUGAAUUCAUCUCCGGGGGUAGAGCACUGUUUCGGCAAGGGGGUCAUCCCGACUUACCAACCCGAUGCAAACUGCGAAUACCGGAGAAUGUUAUCACGGGAGACACACGGCGGGUGCUAACGUCCGUCGUGAAGAGGGAAACAACCCAGACCGCCAGCUAAGGUCCCAAAGUCAUGGUUAAGUGGGAAACGAUGUGGGAAGGCCCAGACAGCCAGGAUGUUGGCUUAGAAGCAGCCAUCAUUUAAAGAAAGCGUAAUAGCUCACUGGUCGAGUC
RNAcentral lists this ribosomal RNA (1119 nucleotides) under Escherichia coli. Its description in RNAcentral is "partial 23S ribosomal RNA". It matches the Rfam family "Bacterial large subunit ribosomal RNA", at positions 1 to 1155 of the family's 2925-position model. The record is from RNAcentral. Lineage: Bacteria; Pseudomonadati; Pseudomonadota; Gammaproteobacteria; Enterobacterales; Enterobacteriaceae.